Long non-coding RNA from Venturia canescens, 1124 nucleotides. RefSeq lists it as uncharacterized. Lineage: Eukaryota; Metazoa; Arthropoda; Insecta; Hymenoptera; Ichneumonidae. The transcript has 3 exons. The record is from RefSeq and is a predicted model, not a curated record.
GCGGGUGUUACGAUUGAUUAUCCGAAGGUGGGGGAGGCGUCGGGUGCACGGGCCAUCAUUGCAAUUCAUGGCUCUACAACUACAUCUCGCAGUGCCCUACCAAUGUAUAAUUCUCGAGGGGCGGAGGAGCAGGGAGUGAAGAUAGAAUUUUUUUUUGGCGGGCUAUGGGGCGCUGCAGUCGCUCGUAUUAGGAUGGGAUGGUUAUCCGGGGAGAGUCGAGGAUACAUAGAGGAUAAUUUUUAUUAUUUUUUUUUCGCUUCGUCAGACCCAACGUUUUAGUCGUCGCAACAAUUCGCAAGAGUAUACGCAGUAAAAGAACAAAUUCAAUACCACCGACUAAAUAACUUAUAUUUAACAUCGCUCGUUAUUAUUUUAUAACUUGACACUUGCAGUUGCUUAUUACAUGCGUUCCGGAUUUGUAUCUAUAAGGGAUCGUGGCACCCAUCACUAUGAUGGAGACAAUGAUGGGAGACUUGUUUCAAAAGAUGUCCGCUCUUCUCUACCAUCUGUGGCCGCUUUCCAGAACCGCGCGAACAAAUUUAUAUAUAAAUAUAUUCGGGGGCUUUGAGCUUCCUUAUUUCAUGGUUCGAAUACUGUCCUACGGGACUCCAGUCCUCGAAUCAUCAAAUAUUUAAAUCUAACACGAUCGAUUAAUCCUCUGAAAUACGUGACAUCGCCUUUUGCUUACAUCAUAUUCAACCGAUAAUUCUUAUUAUUAGCCUUGAUUAGCCUUGAAUAAUUACUCUUAUUUCUGCUUCCGUUUUGGCGGUGCUCGCUAGGUCACAUAGUGGCAAAUCAUCAUGAUCGUUCAACGCACCACCUCUUCCCAGCUACUGCAUCUCUAUUGAUAAAUAUAUAUAUAUAUAUAUAUACGCCGGGUACAUUUCGUCUGACGUCCGCGUCGACGGGCCUGAUGACUCCUUUCGUGAUGAAUUCUCCCCUCACUCCUUUCGUUACCGUUGUUAGCUACCGUGUUCAUUGACAUGACAUAUAUCUCAUGCCUGCAUAUUUGUAUGCAUCAGCGUAUAAUUAUAUCGAGUACCAAUGUAAUUUGUGUAACGUUAGACGGGUAAUGAUCAAUACACGGUGAAAACUGGGCGCAGACGCUGCGCUUUGACGCCCGA